AUCCAGUUGACGUGUCCCGAAUAGGACGAAACGUGAGUCCUGGAU
Molecule: non-coding RNA, 45 nt
Organism: Schistosoma rodhaini
Lineage: Eukaryota; Metazoa; Platyhelminthes; Trematoda; Strigeidida; Schistosomatidae
Source: Rfam